RNAcentral lists this ribosomal RNA (253 nucleotides) under uncultured bacterium. RNAcentral's name for it is "partial 16S ribosomal RNA". It matches the Rfam family "Bacterial small subunit ribosomal RNA", at positions 524 to 776 of the family's 1533-position model. The record is from RNAcentral.
UACGGAGGGUGCGAGCGUUGUCCGGAAUCACUGGGCGUAAAGGGCGCGUAGGCGGCCUGAUAAGUAGGGGGUGAAAUCCUGCGGCUUAACCGCAGGGCUGCCUUCUAAACUGUCGGGCUCGAGCACAGUAGAGGCAGGUGGAAUUCCCGGUGUAGCGGUGGAAUGCGUAGAGAUCGGGAAGAACAUCAGUGGCGAAGGCGGCCUGCUGGGCUGUUGAUGACGCUGAGGCGCGACAGCGUGGGGAGCAAACAGG